GAUGAAGAACGCAGCGAAAUGCGAUAAGUAAUGUGAAUUGCAGAAUUCAGUGAAUCAUCGAAUCUUUGAACGCACCUUGCACUCCUUGGUAUUCCGAGGAGUACGCCUGUUCGAGUGUUAUGAAGCUCUCAAAACGCAAUUGGCUUAAAACCUGAUUGUUGUUUUGGAUUUGAACUUUGCCGUGUUAUAACGGCUGGUUUUAAAAGUAUUAGCUGGUACUAGAACGAAUUGGUUCUACUCAACGUGAUAAUUAUCUGAUCGUUGAGGACAUUCCUUUCACGAGGAAUGGCAAUAGUAAAUUCAAUGGACUGCUUCUAAUCUGGCUUUAAUUCUUUAUUGGAUUAACCACUUUUCAAAUCUGACCUCGAAUCAGGUGGGACUACCCGCUGAACUUAAGCAUAUCAAUAAGCGGAGGA
RNAcentral lists this unclassified non-coding RNA (416 nucleotides) under soil metagenome. RNAcentral describes it as "partial contains 5.8S ribosomal RNA, internal transcribed spacer 2, and large subunit ribosomal RNA". The stretch from base 1 to 120 matches the Rfam family "5.8S ribosomal RNA", at positions 35 to 154 of the family's 154-position model. The record is from RNAcentral.